CCCGUUCCCAUCCCGAACACGGCCGUGACCCUGCUCAGCGCCGAUGGUACUGCCCUCAGGGCGGAAGCGUAGGUCCCCUCCUGCU
RNAcentral lists this ribosomal RNA (85 nucleotides) under Fodinibius roseus. The record is from RNAcentral. Lineage: Bacteria; Pseudomonadati; Balneolota; Balneolia; Balneolales; Balneolaceae.